Molecule: long non-coding RNA, 992 nt
Organism: Cucumis sativus (cucumber)
Lineage: Eukaryota; Viridiplantae; Streptophyta; Magnoliopsida; Cucurbitales; Cucurbitaceae
Exons: 2
Source: RefSeq, a predicted model, not a curated record
UGAACCUUUCAAGGAAGAUUUUUGAAAUUGUCUCAUCUAGGGUUGAAACUUUGGUAUUCUGCUUCUAUGAUAGGAUCAUAGACCAUGAUUGGUUUUUGAAAAUAAGUUUUAAUUUUGGGUCUCGACACAGAUCGUUUUUCGGGAGUGACGACCUAAGAAUAUGUAGUAAAAGGAAGAGUAGAUGACUUCCUAUUUGAUGAAGGAGAGGAAGAAUGCCUCAUUUGAACAACUUCAUCGGAAGGAUGGAUGAGACUGGCCGAAGGCCUAAGUGAAGUAGAAGACUUUGUGGGAGAUUCAAUCUGUAUGCCAGAUGAUCUUGAUCUGGAUCGGGUUACCAUGGUGAACCCUAAAUCCAUAGUUUAUUGAUCUACACUCAUGUGUGAGAGUGUAGAGUUUGAAGAAAAAAAUUGAUGAUUGCUCUUUGAAGAGGUAGAGAUUACUCUUCCUCAGGACAAGUAGGAAAAAGCAAAAAGGAGCAAGUCGGAUGAGACAUCCCGCGUAAAGACAAGAAGAUGGAUCACGCCAAGCAGCUAACAACCUCAAGCGAUGAACCUAAACAUCACGCGAGGAAAGCUUCAUAAAAGACAAAAAUGGUAAUUGAAAUAAUGUGACUUCACAGGGGUGGAUUACGACGCUGGCACAUUAAGAGGAACAAAGUUUUCCCACCUAAAAUAAGCAUUGCAUCUACACCAAGAAGGGGAGGGGGGAGUGGCCUGAAUAGGCUUGGAGCCUGAAGAGGCCAUAGAGAGAGAGACUCAAGUGACCAGAGAAAAUCACAUAGAGAGAGAGAGUUCGAAUAAAACGCUCGGAGAUUAAACGACCAUGAUACUUGGAAAGAUUAUUUGUUGUUUAUCUCUUAGCUUGUAAUGUUACGUUCCAUUGUUUUGUCUUUCCAUUUUGUUAUUUCAUUGUAAUACAUGUAUCAUCCAUAUUAUACACUGGCCAAAGGCCUAUAUUAUUUGUACAUAAAUUGCAUGUUUAUGCCUUUUUAA